GCUGAUCCCAAAGGGAGCUGGAGGAGGCAGAUGGGGAGGUGCUUUGUUAGUGAAUAACUGCAUGUUCCGUGUGUGUGUGUGUGUGUGUGUGUGUGUGUGUGUGUGUGUGUGUGUGUGUGUGUGUGUGUGUGUGUGUGUGUGUGUGUGUGUGUGAAUCUGCGCGCUUUCAGAACUGUGAAAGCUAAACAGGACUUUCUAGUCCCAGUGAAUGACUGGUUUACUGUCAUCUACAACAGCAGACGCCGUUCAUCACUUUCCAUUCCUUGCUGACGGUCAGUGGCAGCCAAACGCGGUGGGGCCAGGCUCUCCUGCUUUCACUGUUGCUGUGUGCAGCAGUGUUUUUCUCAGUCUUCCUUUUUUUUCAGGGGGCGAGCAGGGGAGCUUGCAGCUGCCACUCCACUGCACAUAUGGGCAGAGCGGAUCAAUAUUUGCAGAGGGGGGAAAGAAAAGCCUGGAAUAUCAGCGGAGGGAAAGUGAAGGAUGAAGACCUUCCACUAUAUGAAAUGCACUGCGUGGCUCAGCGCCCAUGGUUGAGGUUGAUGAUCAGAUGAUAUCACCCUGGCACCAACGGUCUGGGCGGUUCCUUUUCCCGUCUAAGGUUGCCAUGAGAGAUGGACAGCGGCCCCCCCCCGGGACCAAUGAAAAGGGUUGUCAUUAGAGGCACUUCCUGUAAAAAGUUACUCACAAAUAUCGGCCUUGUAAAACAGACGUGUGUGUGUGUGUGUAUGAACAUUUGCAUUUGUGUGAAAAGAAGAUGUGAAAGCAAGUUUGGUGAACAGGUGACACAUAUUAAUUCAAAUCCGUUAGUUUGACUAUUAAAUUAUGACAUAAAAUACAGAAAACAUGAAUACCUGGCUUUAACACUCGGAGAGUUCAUUGCAGCUUCUGUGCAAUAGUUUGCUGCAGCAGGUGAUGAGUCACAGUCUAAAUGAGGUUAUUCCAUCCAGGCGGACAUGCAGGACGACACUACGAGCCUCUCACUGUGUGGCCUGUGUGGACAACAGCUGAGACAUCAUACUCUGAAUGCAUGACAUCAUUUCCACUCAUUUAUUUUAUAUGCAUCAGUAAAGGAUGACUGGCUCUCCGUCUAAAUUAGGACGCUCGCUGCUCUUUUAACUGUCCCUCCUGUCAGUGUCUCCCAAAGCAGCAAUGUUAGAGACUUUCCUGUCUCUCUGUGUGUGUCUCAUCAUUUCAUUUCUAAAUAAACUAACGUGCUUUCUAUUGCA
This 1226-nucleotide long non-coding RNA is filed under the name Betta splendens (Siamese fighting fish). RNAcentral's name for it is "lncRNA (ENSBSLG00000019689.1)". Lineage: Eukaryota; Metazoa; Chordata; Actinopteri; Anabantiformes; Osphronemidae. The record is from RNAcentral.